UUUAUGAAAUCAAAUUGAAGUUCAAUAAGUUUUAUAAACGAAAUUAAAAUUCAAUGACCUUUAUGAAAAUAUUAAUAAAAUCAAGUGAUUACGUGUGAUAAUCACUCGAAAAGGUACAGCUUAAGUGUUGUACAUGAUAGAAUAACUUAUGAGAGAGUUCAAAUUAUAAGCUCAAGUCUAUAACAGAAGCAACACUUACCGGAAAAAUGGCAGGGAAAACAAAAACCUUCAAUGAACAAUAGAAUUCAAGUUGAUUUGGAUGUGCUACGAUUACAAAAUUGUCCUUUAUCUCAUGUAAUUUUUUUUUUUGUUUAUAGGACUUGGGCUUUCUGUCUUUUUAUUUGCCAAUUCUUUGUCUUAUCUACUCUUUCUAUCAUGGUUUAAAAUCAUGAUUGCAGAUAACAGAAAUAAGCCUGUAUCAACCGUAACAUAACAAAAAUAGGCCUGUAACAACCGUAAUGUAACGGUAACGG
Molecule: unclassified non-coding RNA, 473 nt
Filed under: Hevea brasiliensis (rubber tree)
Lineage: Eukaryota; Viridiplantae; Streptophyta; Magnoliopsida; Malpighiales; Euphorbiaceae
Source: RNAcentral